UAGCAUAGUGUUUAAAGCAUUUGGCUGUUAACUGAAAGGUUGGUGGUUCGAACCCACU
RNAcentral lists this transfer RNA (58 nucleotides) under Loxodonta africana (African savanna elephant). It matches the Rfam family "tRNA", at positions 8 to 63 of the family's 71-position model. Rfam says of the family: Transfer RNA (tRNA) molecules are approximately 80 nucleotides in length. Lineage: Eukaryota; Metazoa; Chordata; Mammalia; Proboscidea; Elephantidae. The record is from Rfam by way of RNAcentral.